RNAcentral lists this ribosomal RNA (424 nucleotides) under uncultured bacterium. RNAcentral's name for it is "bacterial SSU rRNA". It matches the Rfam family "Bacterial small subunit ribosomal RNA", at positions 355 to 796 of the family's 1533-position model. The record is from RNAcentral.
UGGGGAAUAUUGGACAAUGGGGGGAACCCUGAUCCAGCAAUGCCGCGUGAGUGAAGAAGGCCUUCGGGUUGUAAAGCUCUUUUGUUAGGGACGAUGAUGACGGUACCUAACGAAUAAGCUCCGGCUAACUUCGUGCCAGCAGCCGCGGUAAUACGAAGGGAGCUAGCGUUGUUCGGAAUUACUGGGCGUAAAGGGCGCGUAGGCGGUUUGAUAAGUUUGGUGUGAAAGCCCUGGGCUUAACCUAGGAAUAGCAUUGGAUACUGUCAGACUAGAGACUAAGAGAGGGAAAUGGAAUUGCGAGUGUAGAGGUGAAAUUCGUAGAUAUUCGCAAGAACACCGGUGGCGAAGGCGAUUUCCUGGCUUAGCACUGACGCUAAGGCGCGAAAGCGUGGGGAGCAAACAGGAUUAGAUACCCCCGUAGUCC